UACGGAGGGUGCAAGCGUUGUUCGGAUUUACUGGGCGUAAAGGGCGUGUAGGCGGUUGGCUAAGUCAGAUGUGAAAUCCCUUGGCUUAACCAAGGAACGGCAUUUGAAACUAGCUAACUAGAGUACAGGAGAGGAAAGUGGAAUUCCCAGUGUAGAGGUGAAAUUCAUAGAUAUUGGGAGGAACACCGGUAGCGAAGGCGGCUUUCUGGUCUGAUACUGACGCUGAGACGCGAAAGCGUGGGUAGCAAACAGGAUUAGAUACCCUGGUAGUCCACGCCGUAAACUAUGGGAACUAGGUGUAGGAAGUGUUGACCCUUUCUGUGCCGAAGCUAACGCAUUAAGUUCCCCGCCUGGGGAGUACGGUCGCAAGGCUAAA
RNAcentral lists this ribosomal RNA (376 nucleotides) under uncultured bacterium. RNAcentral's name for it is "bacterial SSU rRNA". It matches the Rfam family "Bacterial small subunit ribosomal RNA", at positions 524 to 898 of the family's 1533-position model. The record is from RNAcentral.